Molecule: long non-coding RNA, 158 nt
Organism: Neodiprion virginianus
Lineage: Eukaryota; Metazoa; Arthropoda; Insecta; Hymenoptera; Diprionidae
Exons: 3
Source: RefSeq, a predicted model, not a curated record
UUUACUACGGUCGUUUGGCACCCUGUGUAUUAGGGUGGGCCAAAAAAAAUGAGUAUUUUUUUUUUUACUUUAUACUCGGAAAAUCGGUUGCUAGAUACCUCUAAAGAAUUCUCACCAAAUAUGAGCUCUUAAUUUUGAUAUCAAGGUCCUCCGCUUUA